GCCCUUUUCUUGUUGCCCUGCUGAGCCGCAGAGGGGCAGUGCAAUGUUAAAAGGGCAU
This 58-nucleotide microRNA precursor is filed under the name Sarcophilus harrisii (Tasmanian devil). RNAcentral describes it as "Sha-Mir-130-P1a_pre stem-loop". Lineage: Eukaryota; Metazoa; Chordata; Mammalia; Dasyuromorphia; Dasyuridae. The record is from RNAcentral.